RNAcentral lists this long non-coding RNA (613 nucleotides) under Dromaius novaehollandiae (emu). Its description in RNAcentral is "lncRNA (ENSDNVG00000001471.1)". Lineage: Eukaryota; Metazoa; Chordata; Aves; Casuariiformes; Dromaiidae. The record is from RNAcentral.
GCGGCGGCGGCGGAGGGGCGCCCCGGGCGGGCGGUUUCGGGCGUCCCCGUCCGCGGCACUCGCCGAGCGCCGCCGCAGCUGCCGGGAGAGCGGUGGGCGAGGGCCGGCCGCGGCGGAGGCAGCUGCGGUACGUGCGGGCUGGGGGCUUGCGGAGUGCGAUUGCGUUGGUAUGACAGAGGUACCUCUUUAUAAAGACACAACAUUACAUACAAAUUGGAGUUCAUGUCCCAACUACAGUAUAGCAUAAUGCUAAGGAUGAUGGCAACAUGUCAGUUAUACUUAUUUAUCAGCAUUUCUGAAAAUUUUGUAGUAAGAUGCGAAAUAAAGUAUAUGUAAACAACAAGAAAAGGACAAAAAUAAAAGCAAUAUACAGCUGAACAAUUAAAGAAUAAUCUAUUGGAGUCAUCACCAAGUUUUUGAAUUUACUCAACAUGAGUACAGAAAUGAGCUGUGUAUUCUGGAGUACAGUGAUGGCAGUAGUCACACUAAGUGCUGCUGCUGCUGCUGUGUACAAAGGCCAGUGUCUCUGUAUGGAAGUAGAGCACCAUGUUCACGGCUAAGAAGACCAGGAGGUUAAACCAGCACUGUAAUAUUCUAGGCUAACCCUUCCUUU